RNAcentral lists this ribosomal RNA (192 nucleotides) under uncultured bacterium. RNAcentral's name for it is "partial 16S ribosomal RNA". It matches the Rfam family "Bacterial small subunit ribosomal RNA", at positions 338 to 521 of the family's 1533-position model. The record is from RNAcentral.
CCUACGGGAGGCAGCAGUGGGGAAUAUUGCGCAAUGGGCGCAAGCCUGAUGCAGCAACGCCGCGUGGAGGACGAAGAUCUUCGGGUCGUAAACUCCUGUCGACCGGGACGAACGUAGUCGGGUCCAAUACACCCGGCUAUCGACUGUACCGGUAAAAGAAGCCCCGGCUAACUACGUGCCAGCAGCCGCGGU